This 492-nucleotide ribosomal RNA is filed under the name uncultured bacterium. RNAcentral's name for it is "partial 16S ribosomal RNA". It matches the Rfam family "Bacterial small subunit ribosomal RNA", at positions 29 to 507 of the family's 1533-position model. The record is from RNAcentral.
AGUGAACGCUGGCGGUAGGCCUAACACAUGCAAGUCGAACGGCAGCACAGUAAGAGCUUGCUCUUACGGGUGGCGAGUGGCGGACGGGUGCGGAAUACAUCGGAAUCUACUUUUUCGUGGGGGAUAACGUAGGGAAACUUACGCUAAUACCGCAUACGACCUACGGGUGAAAGCAGGGGAUCUUCGGACCUUGCGCGAUUGAAUGAGCCGAUGUCGGAUUAGCUAGUUGGCGGGGUAAAGGCCCACCAAGGCGACGAUCCGUAGCUGGUCUGAGAGGAUGAUCAGCCACACUGGAACUGAGACCCGGUCCAGACUCCUACGGGAGGCAGCAGUGGGGAAUAUUGGACAAUGGGCGCAAGCCUGAUCCAGCCAUACCGCGUGGGUGAAGAAGGCCUUCGGGUUGUAAAGCCCUUUUGUUGGGAAAGAAAAGCAGCAGGUUAAUACCCCGCUGUUCUGACGGUACCCAAAGAAUAAGCACCGGCUAACUUCGUG